This 76-nucleotide transfer RNA is filed under the name Coriobacteriaceae bacterium. RNAcentral describes it as "tRNA-Ala". It matches the Rfam family "tRNA". From Rfam's summary of the family: Transfer RNA (tRNA) molecules are approximately 80 nucleotides in length. Their secondary structure includes four short double-helical elements and three loops (D, anti-codon, and T loops). Lineage: Bacteria; Bacillati; Actinomycetota; Coriobacteriia; Coriobacteriales; Coriobacteriaceae. The record is from RNAcentral.
GGGGUUUUAGCUCAGCUGGGAGAGCGCUACGCUGGCAGCGUAGAGGUCACGGGUUCGAGCCCCGUAAGCUCCACCA